ACAACCAACACGUUCUCCCCACACAACUCUCUCGUUCUCCCCACAGCCAGGUCUCCAGCUGGGGUGGAUGUGCCCACCAGCUGCCGAAGGCCAGGACGCCAGGUCCGGUGGACGUGCCAAGCGGGACAUGACAUGGUCCGGUGUGACGGCGAGGACAGAGGAGGCGCGUCUGGCCUUCCUGAACACCUUAGGCUGGUGGGGCUGCGGCGAGAAGCGGGUCUGUUUCUUUACUUCCUCCACGGAGUCGGCACACUACGGCUGCCCUCUGGGCUCCCAGAACCCACAACAUGAAAGGUGCGGGGCUUCCUGCCACACCUGGGGUGGGGGGCACGCGAGAGGAGCUGAGUGGGACCUCACUCCUUCCCCAUCCACAGAAAUGGUGCUACCCAGCUCAAGCCUGGGCCUUUGAAUCCGGACACAAAACCCUCUAGCUUGGAAAGGAAUAUGCUGCACUUUACAACCACUGCACUACCUGACUCAGGAAUCGGCUCUGGAAGGUGAAGCUAGAGGAACGAGACCUCAUCAACCCAACACCAAAGACACCAUCGGAACAGCAGCGCCCGCAGCACCCACCCCCCACCGGCAACUCCAUCUUCAUGGCCAC
Molecule: long non-coding RNA, 604 nt
Filed under: Pongo abelii (Sumatran orangutan)
Lineage: Eukaryota; Metazoa; Chordata; Mammalia; Primates; Hominidae
Description: lincRNA
Source: RNAcentral